CCUAAAAUCAGGUUUCAGUGUAAAGUUUGUAUGAAUACACAAGGCCAGUCUUGACUGAGAUGAUUUUGUUAGGUGUAGAUUUAAAACUAACUUUCCCAAAAGUUGUUUGUAGCAAAUGCUAUUAUUGAACACUUAAAUUAUAAAUACUCUAUUUAAAUUAUACCCUUAUCUGUAUUUCACAUAUUAAACAAAACACUUAGCAAAGUUUUAGAGAGCCAAUUAAUUUUUUAAUAAACUUUUAUUUUAGGAUUCUUUUUAUUUUUAAUUUUGGGCUUCAAAAGUACUCUUAAUUAUUACCACUAUGCUCACUAUCUGGGUGACAGGAACAUUCAUAUGCCAAACCUGAGAAACACAAAAUGUACCCAUGUAACCUGCGUAUGUACCCCUGAACCUCAAAUAAAAGUAAAACAAAGCAAAACAGCUUUGAGCCUUGCCUAUAAGCCCAUUUAUUACUCCUGGUGUUCCAGAAGUGGCAUAAUUUUAAAGAAGAAAACAUGAGAAAUUUAAAAUAAAAUGCUUCCUGGGGCAUAAUGUCAUCCUACUCC
This 545-nucleotide long non-coding RNA is filed under the name Homo sapiens (human). RNAcentral describes it as "non-protein coding lnc-FAM171B-3:1". Lineage: Eukaryota; Metazoa; Chordata; Mammalia; Primates; Hominidae. The record is from RNAcentral.